UACAGAGGGGGCAAGCGUUGUUCGGAAUUACUGGGCGUAAAGGGCGCGUAGGCGGCCAACUAAGUCGGACGUGAAAUCCCCGGGCUCAACCCGGGAACUGCGUCCGAUACUGGAUGGCUUGAAUCCGGGAGAGGGAUGUGGAAUUCCAGGUGUAGCGGUGGAAUGCGUAGAGAUCCGGAGGAAGACCGGUGGCGAAGGCGGUCUGCUGGGCAGUUUCUGACACUGAGGCGCGACAGCGUGGGGAGCAAACAGGG
RNAcentral lists this ribosomal RNA (254 nucleotides) under uncultured bacterium. RNAcentral describes it as "partial 16S ribosomal RNA". It matches the Rfam family "Bacterial small subunit ribosomal RNA", at positions 524 to 777 of the family's 1533-position model. The record is from RNAcentral.